Melanaphis sacchari is the source of this 314-nucleotide long non-coding RNA. RefSeq lists it as uncharacterized. NCBI's taxonomy places the organism in Eukaryota, Metazoa, Arthropoda, Insecta, Hemiptera, Aphididae. The record is from RefSeq and is a predicted model, not a curated record. The transcript is spliced from 2 exons.
AAAAUAUCUAGCUGAAGUCAACUCAACAUAAGUUACAUUAGUUAACUUAACAGAUCAUAUAACUCCAAGGAAAUUUGGCCAUGAAGUAUAACAAAAUGUAUUGCAGAUUUUGUUUUUCUGGAUAUUUCCAGUACUAAUAUUUCCUAAAUUAUAAAUCUACAAUAUUAAGCUUAAGUUAGGAAAGUAGUAAGUACAAUCUAAAGUAAGUAGUAGAUAUAGCUCCAGGUAAAUAGCGUAAGUACACUUUUAUUUCAAUUAUGAUUAAUAUUAUAAAUACUAUGUUUAUAUUUUAAUAAAUAUUAUUUUACUAAAAA